RNAcentral lists this ribosomal RNA (530 nucleotides) under uncultured bacterium. Its description in RNAcentral is "bacterial SSU rRNA". It matches the Rfam family "Bacterial small subunit ribosomal RNA", at positions 777 to 1304 of the family's 1533-position model. The record is from RNAcentral.
AAUAGAUACCCAGGUAGUCCACGCCGUAAACGAUGAGUGCUAAGUGUUAGAGGGUUUCCGCCCUUUAGUGCUGCAGCUAACGCAUUAAGCACUCCGCCUGGGGAGUACGGUCGCAAGACUGAAACUCAAAGGAAUUGACGGGGGCCCGCACAAGCGGUGGAGCAUGUGGUUUAAUUCGAAGCAACGCGAAGAACCUUACCAGGUCUUGACAUCCUCUGACAACUCUAGAGAUAGAGCGUUCCCCUUCGGGGGACAGAGUGACAGGUGGUGCAUGGUUGUCGUCAGCUCGUGUCGUGAGAUGUUGGGUUAAGUCCCGCAACGAGCGCAACCCUUGAUCUUAGUUGCCAGCAUUUAGUUGGGCACUCUAAGGUGACUGCCGGUGACAAACCGGAGGAAGGUGGGGAUGACGUCAAAUCAUCAUGCCCCUUAUGACCUGGGCUACACACGUGCUACAAUGGAUGGUACAAAGGGGCUGCAAGACCGCGAGGUCAAGCCAAUCCCAUAAAACCAUUCUCAGUUCGGAUUGUAGG